GAAGAAUCUGAAAUCUGGAAGCAGAUGCUUUUGUUUUCUGUUUGUAGUCAAUUUGUAGUCCUGUUGGUCUUCUAUUAAAUUAGCACAGGGCCUUGGUUGCAUACAGGUAAACAGUCUGUCCAUAGACCAAAUAAGGGAUUGAAUUUUGGCAAAUGCAAUCUCAAAACAAUCAGUUCUAAAAUUAAUCUGCAAUAGUAAACAAAGACUUCUGGACAGAGCAGGAAAUCCUGGCUCAGAUAUCCAUUAGCUGCUGCUCUGGAUAUCCUUAUGUACCCCUGCCCCCAAAGGCUGAUAGAUUUGCAGUACGUUUGUUGAAUAGAAAGGAAAAGCAGAUUGGCAUAGAAAUUCUCUUUGCACCUUUAAACUCUUGUUGCGAUGACCUGCAGCAGGAAGAUACACCUUGAACAUAUCCAGCAGAGCUGAUCAGUAAGCAGCUUCAGAGGUCGAAGUUUAAAUGCUGCUGCUCCCAGGUGUGGAUGUGUUGAUAUCAAUUAGAAGCUGCUGGAUGCUGAAAGAAUCACGCAGGGUCAGCAACACCACCCAAAGGAAGAACAGUUAAAAGGAAAAAAAAUAGUUGCAUCAAAGCCAGCAUUUGUCCUCUUGCAUUUUACACAACAGCUUUCUCUCCGGCAGCCUCUCUUUGAAGUUCUUUUCAAAGACGUUCUUUCUCCUUUUACUUAAAAGCCUUUAGGGUUAGUCUGUGCAUUUAAGGUGAUCUGAUCUUUAUGGCCAUCCCAGAAAUACUUCAACCUAUGCUGUGGUUUUAUUUUAAGGAUAGCUGAUCUAGAAAACAUUACAUUAUGUGACCCAGAUGCAUAUUAAGAAGUAUGUUGAUGAAAGCGCUUUUCAAAAUGCAUUUAGUGCACCAUGCAGUGAUGAAGACUAGCUGCUCAUGAUGCCAGUUUAACUGAUUUAUUAACCUUAGGACUUGGAAUUGGAAGAUCUUUAAAAUAAUAAUAAUACAAUUUAUGAAGUGAUGCUAGAUAUUGACUGGGGAUGGCACAAAACAAAACAAAACCAAGGCACUCUGUUUUCAAGUACAACGAUGAUUUAUUCUACAAGCUUUCUGGCAAAGUCAGACAAUAUGUGUUGACUUUAAGUCUUCAUCAGAGUCUAACGAACACGUGAUUCGUCAACUUCACACCAAAUACAAGCAUUUGUAUUUGAAACAUAAACCCCAUAGAUGUUUGUGCACUUGCUCUGGUUUGACAAGUCUUCAGGGGAUCUAUAUUUAUGGCUAACAGCCACAAGCACAAAAAACUACUUGUAUGGCACAAAUGUCACAGUAAAUACCACAUUAAACAGCCACGAAUUUGUGCCAACAUUUAGACUGUAGUCCUUCAAAAAGCUCACCUGACAGAUUAUAUCCGGAAAACAUAACUUGUAAUUAGAUUACAAGUAGACAGGAGCAGUGUGCCCUUUACUUUUGGAGUUUCUUCCUGCUUCUGUUUCCAGUGUGGCUUCAAUUCAACUGUAUGCCGAUUGUACACAAGUUUAUUGUAAUGUCUUGCAGGAAUAAGCGUAGGAAAAAUUACAGUCUCUUGUGUACUUUAGGUCAGUUGGUAGAGCAAAUCGCUACGAGCAGCUUAUAUACUUGCUUUUUAGCAAUCAUGGUUAAUGAUGUACUUUGUGGUUACAUAUCCUGUAUUAGACAAAUAAGAGCCAAAUCAUCCCUGGCCAGUACCUGAAUAACAUCCUCUAGCACACCCAGUUUCUCUAAGCUUUUGCUGUGGUCUGUUUAAUCUGCUGCUACUCAUACUUCACUACCACACAAUGUUUGUUUGGAUCUUGUGGAUGUGCUGCGACUAUAAGACUGUGUAUAAAAAAUGAAUGGCUGUCGUCAUCUUUGCCUUUUGCGACCUGAGGUCCCGAGCCACGGUAGAUCUGUCUUAUGGGAAACUGGUCCAAGCACUUCGCUUCGGUCGGCUGCUUUAGAAUGAAUGCAGACUUCCACGUCCAUCUUUCAUAUGCAGUCUAUGGUUCUGCCAAUUUCCCCAGAGCCCUUGAAGUCACAUGUGCACGAGAGCCACCAUAAUAUGCUAAUGUGAAAGUGUCAUACAACUAAACUUGAGGGGCUCUGCAACCUCACCCCUAAAAUUCCACUGCAAACAACAAGUCCUCGAAGGCGUCGUAGGGAUAUGUGUAGUAGCCAGUUUAAAGCAAGUAAAGCAGUGCUCUGAUGCUAACAAGGUUUGCAGGUAUGCUAAAAAACUGUUACGUGUUUUUAACACCACAGCCGUUGGUGGUCCGAAAAAUUCAGGAAAGCAAAUUUUAAAGAAAAAAAAGAAAAAACAACAACAAAAAAAGUCUUGAUAAUUACAGUUUUCUUAUCUGGACAGUGCUGUGUCCUACCUGAAGUUGUGGAUGUUGGUACAAUGGUGACAGUCAUGGCGAUGUUAAUGGUGCUGAAAACAGUGACUCUGUGUCACACGUGAUCAUGUCAUGUCGAACAUGAUGUUAACGGCUAAUGUACAGACGAUACAUACGUCAACCACCCAGUCACGGGGCUGAGGGGCGGGCUUUCACGUUCUCCGAUUGGGUAAUGAACCAGUACUUUGUUGUUGAGGUAAAAUUAUCAGUUAAUAGUGGUGCGCUGAUUAUAUAUAGACUUGAACAAAAAAACAUGUUUAAAAGUAAACAGUGAGUUAAAAAACUCAAAUCAUCUUUUAUCAAUUAAUGCAAGUAUUUAUGUUUAUUUAUUUUUGUAUUUGUUUUAUAUCUAUUUAUCUAUUGUUUACUCACUUGGUGGCCAUGUCUUUGGUAUGACUCUUAUAUUGAGAUGUAAAAACUGAAAAUAGUUUUUCUUUUUUUUUCUUGUUUUUUUUUACUCAUUCUCUAUAUCUGUAUAUAUCAGAGUGAUGCUAUUCUAAGACGUGCGUGUAUGAGUACGUGUGCUUUGGUUUGUAUGUGUCGUAUGUACAGUAUGUCUGUAAGGAUGUGCUCUUAGUUUUUUUUUUGAUAAUGCUGCUUAAACAUCCUCUGAGUGAACGAGCAGAAAAUAAACCAGUGGUGAAAAUAUCUAUGACGAUGUUAAAAAAGAACUCAACAAGCUGUGCUGAUAACUGUAGAUGGGAACAAUACUGUAGUAAACAUGGCUGAACGGCCAGCAAAAUAA
Molecule: long non-coding RNA, 3115 nt
Organism: Astatotilapia calliptera (eastern happy)
Lineage: Eukaryota; Metazoa; Chordata; Actinopteri; Cichliformes; Cichlidae
Source: Ensembl